Molecule: transfer RNA, 79 nt
Filed under: Ipomoea nil (Japanese morning glory)
Lineage: Eukaryota; Viridiplantae; Streptophyta; Magnoliopsida; Solanales; Convolvulaceae
Rfam family: tRNA
About the family: Transfer RNA (tRNA) molecules are approximately 80 nucleotides in length. Their secondary structure includes four short double-helical elements and three loops (D, anti-codon, and T loops).
Source: Rfam by way of RNAcentral
GACGGUUUGGCCGAGUGGUCUAAGGCGCCAGAUUUAGGCUUUGCUCCGAAAGGCGUGGGUUCAAAUCCCACAGCCGUCA